UCUAAAUAGAUCCUGGCCAGGUACUUUGCUUCCCUCUUUUUGCUGCCAUCCUGAGUUUCCAUGCCUCAGGGGGUCUUUGUCACUUCAUCAUUAAAUUCCAUUGUUCUCCCCUAGAGACUUUGUUCAACUUGCAGUUAUCUAUUCAUACUUGUUAUUUUUGUUCUUCUUUGUAGAGGAGACACAUGCUAGGUGCCUCUAGUCAGCGAUCUUGAUGACAUCUUUGUUUUGGACUUCUAAUGACAUGAUGAAGAAAGUGAAAAACAAGCCACAGAUGAGUGGGCACGUUGGGCCAAGCACUGUUCUAGACAUAAAUAUUUCAUAGAGAUUCAUCAACACAAGUUGCAAUAAAACACGAAAAAGAUUGAUGUAAUGUUUCUGUGAUAGGCAGCCUCUAAGAUGAUCUACAGAUCUCUACUUCUUGAUAUUCAUCAUCUUACUGUAGGCUGGUCCACCUAGCAUCUCUAAGCAGGAUACUGAAAAAAAGUAUCGAAUGAGCUGCCGCUUCUGAGAUUAUGUUAUGAGCUACUGUGUCUUCCAGUUAGCUCACCCCUCUCUUGCUUACUCAAUCUGUGGUAAACCAGCUGUCAUUGCUGCCUUCUGCCCUAUAUGGAGGCACAAAAAAGAAGGAAUGGAGGGAGGCACCCAGCCAAGAGCCAGUGAGGACCGGAGACCUGCCAGCAGCCACACGAGUGAGGCUGGAAGCACAUCUGCCUCCAAUUUAGUCUUGAAAUAACUGCAGCCUCAGCAGACACCUAAAUUGCAGCCUUGUGAAAGACUCUCAGCCAGGGGCUCCCAGCUAAGCUGUGUAUGAGUUUUUGAACUAUAGAGACUGUGAGAGACUACAUUUUUGCUGUUUGUCUCUAGGUUUUGGGGUAAUUAGUUAAGCAGAAAUGAACAGAGUUGCUAAUAGAAAUAAUACAGUGGUUUUACUUUGGAAGAAAUAUAUUUUAAUCUAAGAUCAAGUCCUUUCUCUGAUUUGGGUGUUAAAAUGGCUUAUAUUUUUUGAUAUUAGAGUGACAAUAUAUUCUCUCUUUCUUUAAGCCUAUAGUUAGUAAAAUAAGUAUAUUUGAGUCCCACAGAAUUUUUAAAAAUGGUUUUCCAAUUAAUAAAAUCAAAAGUUUGACAAUAAGUUUUAAAUUAUUCCCAUAUCAUUUACAUUCUUCUAUGAUCAUUAUUUUGUGUAAAAUGCUAUAAAUAUUUUUUUAUGUUUGUUUUCUCUAAAUAAACUGUGAGUUUCUAAAGUA
This 1244-nucleotide long non-coding RNA is filed under the name Homo sapiens (human). RNAcentral describes it as "HSALNT0330754". Lineage: Eukaryota; Metazoa; Chordata; Mammalia; Primates; Hominidae. The record is from RNAcentral.